Molecule: microRNA precursor, 113 nt
Filed under: Olea europaea subsp. europaea
Lineage: Eukaryota; Viridiplantae; Streptophyta; Magnoliopsida; Lamiales; Oleaceae
Source: RNAcentral
UUAAUUGCCACUGCAGCAUCAUCAGGAUUCUCAUAUAUACUGAUCAAUGGGACAUUAAAAUGGAAACCCAAGAAAUGUUAUGUGAAUCUUGAUGGUGCUCCAACAGCAAAAAC